UACACAAUACGCUAGAAAUUCAGGUAGUCAACAGUCUUAACUUGCUUAUCAAGAUUCUCAAACUGUUGCUCUACCAUGACAGUAGUUGAUCUGAAACAGUUUCCAUCUAUAGGUAGAUGCCAGCAGAAUGCUAUCUGGCAGUGCAACAACAUACAGUUAUCUUCUUGUGAUUUACACUACGUUUUACCAGUGACCAUUUUUGACUUUUGACCAUGUGACUUACACAAGUUUUUCUAUCUAUAGACUGAUAGACACAUGGCAUUUAUGGCUCAGCGUGAUCGAAUGUUUCUGAAAAGAUGGCAGCAUGCAAGUUGCAUUCAUCUGGACACCUCGUUGUCAAUGUCUUCACGCUGAGCAUCUCAGGACCAUCUAAAUGUUUUUUGUCUCUUUGCUUUCUAACGUGUUAUCCUGAGGAAACAAGUGCCAACAUUGUCCUGAGUGAGUCACACUUGUACUAGCUGUUCACCGAAGCAGGAACAUUUCAUCAGUGUCGGGUCAAAGAAAAUUCCUGAACAACCACCAGGGAACCAUUCCGGUCACCACGGCAACAACUGAUCCUGGAAUCCAGCCUCCCUUUGGUCUGGUCCAGUAAGACCUUCACGUUUCAGAAAGCAGAGAAGGGCACCUGAAGGGUAUGGGCAAGUUAAACUUCCUGCAGAAUUACUAGCAUAUAUACACGUUAACACAAGCACUGUGAUAGUUUUUGCUGAAGGAUUAGUUCACUCUAAAAAUGAACAUUUGCUGUAAAGGUACUCACAUUAAAGAAGUAGAUUAGAUUCUUCAUCAGAGAACAGAUUUUGAGAAAUUUAACAUUGCAUCACUUGCUUACCAAAGGAUCAUCUGCAGUGAAAUGGGUGCCGUCAGAUUGAGUUCAAACAGCUGAUGAAAACAUCACAAUACCACCACACCACUCCGGCUACCAAUACGCAGCGAAACUUGAAGUGACAACAACUGAACCUUGAACCGAAAAAAAGGCAACGCGACAUCCGUAAUAAAACAGGAAUCAACAGUAUCCAGAGCAUCACAUCUGCUGUGCAUUGAGAUUCACAAACAAGUUUUUGUUGCUAAAAAUGGCAGCCUAUAAACCAGUCACUUUGAUCUGUUUGCAAAAAUACAGUUUCCACCAUUAUUUGAUAAGAAUAACAGUGGUUAUGUCGAAAGACAGCAUUGUGAAAUAUUAGUAACAUUAAAACUGAUUUCAACAGUCAUAGCAACAGCAUAUAAGCUGCUUACCUGCUCACAAGGCAGGUAAUAAUUUAUUCAUUAUUAAUGCAAUCAUCCGCCUCAAGCCAUCAGAGCCAUCCACGCAGAACAACUGCCGUUUUCUGCAAAUAACAUGUUUUGAGCUUGAACCGCCAAAGGGACAAAUUCAAUUCAUUAUUUACCUGACCCAAAACUCUCAGAAGACAUUACAAUUAUCUGUGCAAACACAGGGUUAAUUUUUCUUUAUUUUCUUAGAGCAUCUGUGAAAUGUAUUGGGCAAGACCAAUUCUGUGGUAACUUCUUAACUCGUGUCUAAAUGUAGGGUGAAUUGUGCUCAUCUAAGCAUACUUCAACAUGUUCAAACACACCUAUGUUCAGGGUUUUGCCCUGCAGUGAUAUUCACCUCUAUUCUUUAAAUAUCUUCAAGCUUCAGCAGGGUUUACCUAGCUUAUGUCUAACACAUUUUAAGAUGUCGUAAUUAUAUACUCACCGUAUGAUUCAGCAAAGAACCCUCUUUGUUAUAAGAGCCAUUUCUUGCUGUAGGAUUCUUGCUUUUUCAUUGUGUGAACUUGUUUAUAUUUUGGCUUCUUGCUGUUUUAUAGUUGAAUCAGCAUGCACUCUUAGCCCAUAUUUUCUUCAAUUACAUGUUGUGCAGAUACAUUCAGAAUGUUUUUAUCUGUUGAUACAUGUUAAUACACAAGCAAUGAUGAAUAAAGAUGAACUACUGAUAGGACAUGACAUUAUUUUAUUAUGUGAGAAGAAAGUGUGCUAUGAAAUUGGUUAUCAUAAACAUUACACACUGCGUUUGGUCGAUCAGAAGUGAGUAUGGUACGUAUUCAUUUCAGGAGGGUAGGUCAUAAUACAUUUAACAAACUGAAAGUGCACCAAGCCAGCAGCUGCUGAUGGGGGUAUUCUCCGAUGCAUUUGUUUUUUUCUAAUCUCCAGCAUUGUUCUCAUGGUUAACCCUCUCUUAUGCUCAGUAUUCAAGCGUAGCUCCGGCUCCCAUCUGCUGCCAGUCAAGAGUCUUUCACAGACUGAGGCCCUCAGGGGUCCGACACAGUGUUUCUCAUCAUUUAUCUGGUGUUCU
Long non-coding RNA from Carassius auratus (goldfish), 2290 nucleotides. RefSeq lists it as uncharacterized. The record is from RefSeq and is a predicted model, not a curated record. Lineage: Eukaryota; Metazoa; Chordata; Actinopteri; Cypriniformes; Cyprinidae. The transcript is spliced from 3 exons.